Molecule: long non-coding RNA, 489 nt
Filed under: Nicotiana benthamiana
Lineage: Eukaryota; Viridiplantae; Streptophyta; Magnoliopsida; Solanales; Solanaceae
Description: long non-coding RNA (NBEN_LNC017905)
Source: RNAcentral
GGGAGUCUAACGUAUUAAAAUAAAUUAUAUAAUAAGUAUGAAGCAAGAAGCCAAAAAAUCAUAAUGUGUUUGUUAAAGAUGGUGUGGUUAAAUUUCCAUGGGAAAAGCCAUUGGUGAAAGAAGAAGAGGGGGUUAAUUCGAUGAGCAGUCGGAGUAGGACUCAUCUGGCUGAGCUGGCACUACCUGCUUCUGAGCUCAGAAGGUUAACAAAUUUGGCUCUUAGGAUAAAGAACAAGACGAGGAUUAGCGGUGCUGGUGUUACGCAACAAGUUGUAGAAACCAUUCGUGAGAAGUGGAACACAUCGGAGGUUGUCAGCGGAGUAGGACUCAUCUGGCUGAGCUGACACUACCUGCUUCUGAUCUCAGAAGGUUGACAAAUUUGGCUCUUAGGAUAAAGAACAAGACGAGGAUUAGUGGUGCUGGAGUUACGCAACAAGUUGUAGAAACCAUUCGUGAGAAGUGGAACACAUCGGAGGUUGUCAGGUUGAA